GACGAACGCUGGCGGCGUGCCUAAUACAUGCAAGUCGAGCGCGGAAGGCUGGUACAUGUACCAACGGGAUGAGCAGCGAACGGGUGAGUAACGCGUGGGGGAUCUGCCUUUGAGCGGGGGACAACAUUUGGAAACGAAUGCUAAUAGCGCAUAAAAACUUUAAACACAAGUUGUAAGUGUGAAAGAUGCAAUUGCAUCACUCAAAGAUGAUCCCGCGUCUUAUUAGCUAGUUGGUGAGGGAGAGGCACACCCAGGCGAUGAUACAUAGCCGACCUGAGAGGGGACGCGCACUCGUUGGGACUGGGACACGGCCCGACCUCCUGCGGCAGACAGCCGUCGGGGAUCUUCGCCGGUGGCCGCAGUUCUGACCAUUCGACGCCGCGUGCGUGACGAAGCUAUCCGGGUCGUGUAACUCGGUUGGUAGUUAGGAUCGUUGGGCAGUGUGAACAGCGCAUCUAGUGACGGUAACUACCCAGAAAGCCCCGGCUAACUACGUG
RNAcentral lists this ribosomal RNA (497 nucleotides) under uncultured bacterium. Its description in RNAcentral is "partial 16S ribosomal RNA". It matches the Rfam family "Bacterial small subunit ribosomal RNA", at positions 28 to 507 of the family's 1533-position model. The record is from RNAcentral.